This 492-nucleotide ribosomal RNA is filed under the name uncultured bacterium. RNAcentral describes it as "partial 16S ribosomal RNA". It matches the Rfam family "Bacterial small subunit ribosomal RNA", at positions 29 to 507 of the family's 1533-position model. The record is from RNAcentral.
AGUGAACGCUGGCGGUAGGCCUAACACAUGCAAGUCGAACGGCAGCACAGUAAGAGCUUGCUCUUACGGGUGGCGAGUGGCGGACGGGUGAGGAAUACAUCGGAAUCUACUUUUUCGUGGGGGAUAACGUAGGGAAACUUACGCUAAUACCGCAUCCGACCUACGGUUGAAAGCAGGGGAUCUUCGAACCUUGCGCGAUUAAAUGAGCCGAUGUCGGAUUAGCUAGUUGGCGGGGUAAAGGCCCACCAAGGCGACGAUCCGUUGCUGGUCUGAGAGGAUGAUCAGCCACACUGGAACUGAGACACGGUCCAGACUCCUACGGGAGGCAGCAGUGGGGAAUAUUGGACAAUGGGCGCAAGCCUGAUCCAGCCAUACCGCGUGGGUGAAGAAGGCCUUCGGGUUGUAAAGCCCUUUUGUUGGGAAAGAAAAGCAGCAGGUUAAUACCCCGCUGUUCUGACGGUACCCAAAGAAUAAGCACCGGCUAACUUCGUG